Molecule: ribosomal RNA, 489 nt
Filed under: uncultured bacterium
Lineage: Bacteria
Description: partial 16S ribosomal RNA
Rfam family: Bacterial small subunit ribosomal RNA
Source: RNAcentral
GACGAACGCUGGCGGCGUGCUUAACACAUGCAAGUCGAACGGAAAGGCCCCCACCUUGGUGGGGGUGCUCGAGUGACGAACGGGUGAGUAACACGUGGGUGAUCUGCCCUGUACUUCGGGAUAAGCUUGGGAAACUGGGUCUAAUACCGGAUAGGACCAUGGUUUAGUGUCUCAUGGUGGAAAAAUUAUUGUUUUGGUGCAGGAUGAGCUCGCGGCCUAUCAGCUUGUUGGUGGGGUAAUGGCCUACCAAGGCGUCGACGGGUAGCCGGCCUGAGAGGGUGGACGGCCACAUUGGGACUGAGAUACGGCCCAGACUCCUACGGGAGGCAGCAGUGGGGAAUAUUGCACAAUGGGCGCAAGCCUGAUGCAGCGACGCCGCGUGGGGGAUGACGGCCUUCGGGUUGUAAACUCCUUUCGUUAGGGACGAAGCCACACCUUUUUUGGGUGUGGUGACGGUACCUUUGUUAAGAAGCACCGGCUAACUACGUG